This 424-nucleotide ribosomal RNA is filed under the name uncultured bacterium. RNAcentral describes it as "bacterial SSU rRNA". It matches the Rfam family "Bacterial small subunit ribosomal RNA", at positions 30 to 457 of the family's 1533-position model. The record is from RNAcentral.
AUUGAACGCUGGCGGCAUGCCUUACACAUGCAAGUCGAACGGCAGCACGGGAGCAAUCCUGGUGGCGAGUGGCGAACGGGUGAGUAAUAUAUCGGAACGUGCCCAGUCGUGGGGAUAACGUAGCGAAAGCUACGCUAAUACCGCAUACGAUCUAUGGAUGAAAGCGGGGGAUCGCAAGACCUCGCGCGAUUGGAGCGGCCGAUAUCAGAUUAGGUAGUUGGUGAGGUAAAGGCUCACCAAGCCGACGAUCUGUAGCUGGUCUGAGAGGACGACCAGCCACACUGGGACUGAGACACGGCCCAGACUCCUACGGGAGGCAGCAGUGGGGAAUUUUGGACAAUGGGCGCAAGCCUGAUCCAGCAAUGCCGCGUGUAGGAUGAAGGCCUCGGUUGUAACUAGCUUUGUUACGGAACGAAACGGUAGA